CCUCCACACUGCCAAGAAAAGCCUCUAGCGAGGCGGGAGGUGCCCGUACCGCAAACCGACACAGGUAGGCGAGGAGAGAAUCCUAAGGUGAUCGAGAGAACUCUCGUUAAGGAACUCGGCAAAAUGACCCCGUAACUUCGGGAGAAGGGGUGCUCUGGUAGGGUGUAUAGCCCGAGAGAGCCGCAGUGAAUAGGCCCAGGCGACUGUUUAGCAAAAACACAGGUCUCUGCGAAGCCGCAAGGCGAAGUAUAGGGGCUGACGCCUGCCCGGUGCUGGAAGGUUAAGAGGAGGGGUUAUCCUUUGGGAGAAGCUCUGAAUCGAAGCCCCAGUAAACGGCGGCCGUAACGAUAACGGUCCUAAGGUAGCGAAAUUCCUUGUCGGGUAAGUUCCGACCCGCACGAAAGGCGUAACGAUCUGGGCACUGUCUCAACGAGAGACUCGGUGAAAUUAUAGUACCUGUGAAGAUGCAGGUUACCCGCGACAGGACGGAAAGACCCCGUGGAGCUUUACUGUAGCCUGAUAUUGAAUUUUGGUACAGCUUGUACAGGAUAGGUAGGAGCCUGAGAAGCCGGAGCGCUAGCUUCGGUGGAGGCGUCGGUGGGAUACUACCCUGGCUGUAUUGAAAUUCUAACCCGCGGCCCUGAUCGGGCCGGGAGACAGUGUCAGGUGGGCAGUUUGACUGGGGCGGUCGCCUCCUAAAAUGUAACGGAGGCGCCCAAAGGUUCCCUCAGAAUGGUUGGAAAUCAUUCGUAGAGUGUAAAGGCACAAGGGAGCUUGACUGCGAGACCUACAAGUCGAGCAGGGACGAAAGUCGGGCUUAGUGGUCCGGUGGUUCCGCAUGGAAGGGCCAUCGCUCAACGGAUAAAAGCUACCCCGGGGAUAACAGGCUUAUCUCCCCCAAGAGUCCACAUCGACGGGGAGGUUUGGCACCUCGAUGUCGGCUCAUCGCAUCCUGGGGCUGUAGUCGGUCCCAAGGGUUGGGCUGUUCCCCCAUUAAAGCGGUACGCGAGCUGGGUUCAGAACGUCGUGAGACAGUUCGGUCCCUAUCCGUCGUGGGCGUAGGAAAUUUGAGAGGAGCUGUCCUUAGUACGAGAGGACCGGGAUGGACACACCGCUGGUGUACCAGUUGUCUUGCCAAAGGCAUCGCUGGGUAGCUAUGUGUGGACGGGAUAAGUGCUGAAAGCAUCUAAGCAUGAAGCCCCCCUCAAGAUGAGAUUUCCCAUAGCGCAAGCUAGUAAGAUCCCUGAAAGAUGAUCAGGUUGAUAGGUCAGAGGUGGAAGCGUGGCGACAUGUGUAGCUGACUGAUACUAAUCGAUCGAGGACUUAACC
RNAcentral lists this ribosomal RNA (1329 nucleotides) under metagenome. Its description in RNAcentral is "bacterial LSU rRNA". It matches the Rfam family "Bacterial large subunit ribosomal RNA", at positions 1597 to 2925 of the family's 2925-position model. The record is from RNAcentral.